Molecule: transfer RNA, 67 nt
Filed under: Marmota monax (woodchuck)
Lineage: Eukaryota; Metazoa; Chordata; Mammalia; Rodentia; Sciuridae
Description: tRNA.Ala
Rfam family: tRNA
About the family: Transfer RNA (tRNA) molecules are approximately 80 nucleotides in length.
Source: RNAcentral
AGAUGUGGCUCAGUGAUAGAGCACUUGCCUAGCAUGCAUGAGGUACUGGGUUCAAUCCCCACCACUG